UACAGAGACUGCAAGCGUUAUUCGGAUUCACUGGGCGUAAAGGGUGCGCAGGCGGCUGAGUGUGUCAGGUGUGAAAGCCCGAGGCUUAACCUCGGAAUUGCGCUUGAAACUACUCGGCUAGAGUACCGGAGAGGGUAGCGGAAUUCACGGUGUAGCAGUGAAAUGCGUAGAUAUCGUGAGGAACACCAGAGGCGAAGGCGGCUACCUGGACGGUUACUGACGCUCAGGCACGAAAGCGUGGGGAGCGAAAGGG
Molecule: unclassified non-coding RNA, 253 nt
Filed under: uncultured Verrucomicrobiota bacterium
Lineage: Bacteria; Pseudomonadati; Verrucomicrobiota
Description: uncultured Verrucomicrobia bacterium contains 16S-23S intergenic spacer region
Rfam family: Bacterial small subunit ribosomal RNA
Source: RNAcentral